This 468-nucleotide long non-coding RNA is filed under the name Homo sapiens (human). Its description in RNAcentral is "HSALNT0281916". Lineage: Eukaryota; Metazoa; Chordata; Mammalia; Primates; Hominidae. The record is from RNAcentral.
GGAACCUGGAUUUACAGAAAACAUCCAGAAACCUCUUGAAGGAACAAGAAUGACCCUCCUGCAUCUUAAAGGUCUAUCAAUGAGAAGAAAGUGCCAACUGAAAACUUUUAGAAAAUACCCAGUUUACUCAAGGAAAAUAACAUGCAUUGAAGGUGAUUGCUCAAUAGAGAGAAGUUGAAACAGCAGACUAAUUGCCUGUUUGUGACACCCAUGUAAUCAACUUGGUAAGUAAAAACUCAAGAAUAAUGUUCAAUGUUCUCUAAAAUGGGCCAGAAGCCCUUCAGUGCAGAUUCAGGCUCUCUCUCUUUCUCUCUCUCACGCACUCUCUCUCUCUCUCUUUCGUUUACAUCUUAUGGCAGAUCUUUCUUAGGGUCAGUAGAGCACAUGCAGAUUUCACACUAUGCACUCUCUCUAGCUGAUAUCUGAUAUCGAGUCUCAUGGGAGUGAUUGGAGAAGAAAACCAAGCAC